CUUGGGCUGCAUUUUGGGUCAUUGUAGUCGGCUUAGUUCUGGCCGCUUCAGGGGCAUACCUUGUCUACAAAUAUAGAAUUAGGGUAAGUUUGGUUGCAUUCUCCCUGUUUGGUGAUGUUAUAUGACGCCUUUUUUUUCUUUUUUCUUUCCUUUCUAUGUUUAUACAAGAUUUAUGACAUUCUAUGAAAUCCAUUAAUUUCGAUACCAGCUUUUUUGUUUAAAAAUCAAAUUCAGAAACAUGAAAGUGUAUUCGACAAAUUCUGUGGAGAAGCAAGAGUCUUUCUUAAAUCACUUCAUAGUAUUUGAUUGGCUAAAAUUAACUGUAUUUUUCUUGUAUUUUUGCAGUCAUACAUGGAUUCUGAAAUAAGGGCCAUCAUGGCUCAGUAUAUGCCCUUGGACAGCCAAUCAGAAGUUGUAAAUCAUGUCAACGAUGAAAGAGCAUGAAAGUGAAAACAUGUCAGCCUGUUGGCAGAGUUGUGUGUUGAGAAAUGAGACCUGGUUGUGGCAUAC
This 510-nucleotide long non-coding RNA is filed under the name Medicago truncatula (barrel medic). RNAcentral's name for it is "long non-coding RNA (MTRU_LNC007821)". The record is from RNAcentral. Lineage: Eukaryota; Viridiplantae; Streptophyta; Magnoliopsida; Fabales; Fabaceae.